GAUUUACUGGGCGUAAAGGGCGCGUAGGCGGCCACCGCAAGUCGACUGUGAAAUCUCCGGGCUUAACCCGGAAAGGUCAGCCGAUACUGCGGGGCUAGAGUGCAGAAGGGGCAACUGGAAUUCUCGGUGUAGCGGUGAAAUGCGUAGAUAUCGAGAGGAACACCUGCGGCGAAGGCGGGUUGCUGGGCUGACACUGACGCUGAGGCGCGAAAGCUAGGGGAGCGAACGGGAUUAGAUACCCCGGUAGUCCUAGCCUUAAACGAUGAAUGCUUGGUGUCUGGGGUUUUAUAGUCCCCGGGUGCCGUCGCUAACGCUUUAAGCAUUCCGCCUGGGGAGUACGGUCGCAAGACUGAAACUCAAAGGAAUUGACGGGGACCCGCACAAGCGGUGGAGCAUGUGGUUUAAUUCGACGCAACGCGAAGAACCUUACCUGGGCUAGAAUGCCUCUGACAACCCUAGAGAUAGGGCCUUCUGGGUAAAACCAGACAGAGUGCAAGGUGCUGCAUGGCU
Molecule: ribosomal RNA, 510 nt
Filed under: uncultured Acidobacteriota bacterium
Lineage: Bacteria; Pseudomonadati; Acidobacteriota
Description: bacterial SSU rRNA
Rfam family: Bacterial small subunit ribosomal RNA
Source: RNAcentral